Molecule: RNA transcript, 5308 nt
Organism: Psammomys obesus (fat sand rat)
Lineage: Eukaryota; Metazoa; Chordata; Mammalia; Rodentia; Muridae
Gene: Nabp1
Gene name: nucleic acid binding protein 1
Exons: 7
Source: RefSeq, a predicted model, not a curated record
UGCUGCCUUUCCCCUGAGCCGAGGCGGCAGUCCGCACGCUUGCUUGCUCGCCGCCCACUUGGGAGCGGGCUCGGUGUGCGGAGUGAGUCCUCUUUUUGAUUUUGGAACUUGGGAGAGUCCUUUUUUCCUCCCUUCCCCCUCCAUUGUUUUUUCUUUCUCUCUUUUGGCUUGGUGCCUCUAGGGCUGGUUUCCCUGGCCCCUGAAUAACCGCUUCCUGACCCGGUCGCCAGCCCCGCCCCAGGGUGCUCCCCCACCCCGGCUCUGCCCCGGCCCCGGAGGGUGGGAAGCCUUGCCUAGCGCAGCGUAGCCGCACCUGCCUCAGUAUGCAUGGGGUCAGCGACCCUCCUCUUUUUAUAAAAGACAUUAAGGCCGGACUGAAAAACUUAAAUGUCGUCUUUAUUGUCCUGGAGAUAGGACGCGUGACCAAAACCAAAGACGGCCAUGAAGUGAGGUCCUGCAAAGUAGCUGACCGAACGGGAAGCAUCACCAUUUCUGUGUGGGAUGAGAUCGGAGGGCUCAUACAGACAGGGGAUAUUAUUCGGUUGACCAGAGGGUAUGCGUCAAUGUGGAAAGGAUGCCUGACACUUUAUACUGGAAGAGGUGGUGAACUCCAAAAGAUUGGGGAAUUUUGUAUGGUGUAUUCAGAAGUGCCAAAUUUCAGUGAGCCAAACCCAGAUUAUAGAGGACAGCUGAGCCAAGGGGUACAAAAUGAGCAGAAGGAUAAAAUAAGCACCAAUACUUUUGGGCCAGUGGGGAAUGGUAUUCAGACUGGGCCUGAAUCAAGGGGAUAUCAUCUUCCAUAUGCUGGUAGAAGCAAUGGCCGGGCGCCUGUCAGUCCACAGCUACCAGGAGCACCUUGUAGUCAAACAGUCAUGACCACAAUAAGUAAUGCCAGGGAUCCGAGGAGAGCCUUUAAAAGAUGACCUAAGCCAAAGAGACACAUGUAGUUUUUAAACUAUGUGCCCUACUUGAACACUUAGUGCACUUUUAUUUAUUGUUAACUGUGAAAAGUUUGUCUCCUACGGGUUUCCUUUUACAUUUUUGGUUUGUUAUAAAGAGAGGAUGGUUUUUACUGAAAAACUGUUAAGCUGCUCAGUUACAUCCUAUGGAAGAAUAGGAACUCUGAAAGCAGGAACAUUUAUUUUUAGAGUAAGAACUUACUGGGUAUCACUUGAAAACCUGUCCCUGUUUCAGGGGUGAGACUUAAGACACCAACUUUAUAUAUAGCCUCUGUGAGUGUGUCUUCUGCAUAAACUUUGUAAUGUUUGUCAUAAUGUUUAAUGGAAAAUGUCUGUUGUCUUAAAUUUGGAUAUUGCCAACUGAAGCAAUAACCACCCCACGCCAGAAACCUGGUCAGUGCUGACAGCAUUUUUGAGUGUGUGUGAUCCAGCAAUGACUUGACUUCCUAGAGUGACUGCCUGCUAUUUGGUUUACCAAGGACAGAAUCAUCCUAAAUUCUUGUUUAAUAACCAGAUAACCAGAUUCUUUAUCAGAAUUAUGGAAUAAAAUAUGUAAUACAGCAAGUACUUUUUUGUUGCAAACAUUGAAGAGUACAUUCAAGGCAAAUUUAUAAGUCCUUGAAUGUUUUACUUUUGAAACUACCAUGUUAAAUAUUGAAGUGUAAGUGGAGGGAUUGUGGGGAGUUGUAACCCCUGAUUGAACAGUAGUCAUUAGUAUUAGUUGUAGUACUUUUGAGACGGGGUCUUACUGUGUACCCCUGCCUGGGUUGGAUCUUGUCACGUAGACCAGGUGGGUCUUUGAAUAAUAGAGCUGCCUGCAUCUUUCCCCAGUGCUGGGAUUAAAGUUGUUCACCACCACACCAGGCUGAUCUGAUUACUUUUAAAAAUACUCAUGGCAGAUGAAUAUUGUAGCAGAUGCAAUUCAGAUUGAAUUCUAAUAGCCAUAUGACUGCCUGAUACAAGUAGUCAGAAGUAAAAAUGCUAGUACUCCCUUUCUUCAAUGGGUGUGUGUGUUUUAAAGUUUCUGAACACAAUUCACAUAGCCUUAUUAGCAAAGUUAAGUGGCUCAAGAAGUGAUUAUACCUCUGUUAAUGCUAGGGUGUGAUUUGUGUAUAAUGGAACUUCCUUUCUCUGUGCAGUGUGUAAUUGGUAAUUUUUCAUUGUUCCUAUUUGUUUCUCCUUAAACAUUCUCUCCUGAAUAAAACUUGCUGUAAUGACACAUCUUAAUCUUUCAGUAAACAUGGAGAGCCCAGUCCAUUUUAUUGAAGUUGUAACCAGCUUCAGCCUGGCUGCUCCAUACCUCUGUACCUGUCAUUUCUCCUCACCUCAGAUUGUAAAAAUAAUCUGCAUGGAUACCACUCAUCAAGAAGUUUUGGAAGUGUCAACCCUCCUUUCUGGUGCCUUCAGCUAUCAACGUUGACAAAUAUCAACAAGACCCAAUGAAACAAACCAUGUAGUGUAGAAAUGCAGUGCUAAGAUUGGGUCCCCAUUACUGUUUCUAGGCACGGUCCUGGAGUGGAGCAAACACAUAUGAUCAGACCAGCUUUUGUCUGGCCAAGUUGUGGGGAUUUGCCACACAAUAGAAAAUGAAAGGUGAAGUCCACCCCAUAGAAGCAGCAUGUAAACACCAGGUUUUUCUGUGCUGUACCAACUCCCUAUUUUACUUUUUGUCCAUAGUCUUAGGAAAUUUUUGUUAAAAUUUGAAGAGUGAUUAAUUUUUAAAGCAUAGUUUGAAGGUUAACUAGCCCUUUUAACUUUUUUUUUUUUUAAAAAAGCAGAUUAUAUACUGAGUGUUCUAGCCCAAUGAUGUGAAGAAGCACCACAGUUGAUAAUUUCCAUUUACAGAGUGAUCAGACAUGUCAGUGGAGUUGCUGAAAUGGCUUCCCUUCUUGGGUAUCAUUAGCAUAGUGACUGCUUGAAGCCAUUUUAGGUUGUAUGUGUGACUCGUGACGUUCUAAUGGUGACUGAAAAACACUGGAAGCAACAAGAACAGUUUCCCAAACAGGCAUGUGACAUGUUCUAACCCCACUGAGAUCCCUUAUCUCACUGAUUUUUACAUCUCUCACCUGAUGAAAGUCUGAUGAUUGUUUAGUAGGCAAGGAUCAUGUGGUUUCAGUCAUUUUCUAGCACAGUGGUGUGAGGAAGUUAGGGAUCAUCAUGAGAUCCUUGUGUGCUGAGGCGCUAGCCGUUCAUUACAAGUGGGAGUAACUAAACUGCCCAAUAUUUCACAAAGUAGUUUUAAUCAGGCGUGCUGCUGACACCUAAUUGUGACCUUUGAAAAUAACACUAUCACUGAUGUAUAACACCCCAAGGCAGAAGCUAGAUAAUUGUUUUCUAGGUAUAUUUAAGUCUCUAGAUAGCCCAAGGUUUGCUUUAUUUGGAAUAUGCUAGUUUGAAGGAUAUAGUCAAAUUAUACCAGGUUUCUGAAUGAACAAAGUCUUGAUAUUUCUGGAAGCACAAAUGAGACUCAAAAUGAAGUCCCUUAAGUUACUAGGAAGCAUUUUUCCCCCACACUGACAUUAGGUCUCAAAAUACUACCAAGAAUAGCUUUUACCUUUCUCAGGUGUUCAGUGUAGUACCAUUUCAACCAGUAGGUGCCCAAGCUUUGAAGAGUGAAAGUAUACAACCCAAUAUUUUCUGGUUUACCCUAACUGUCCAGAGCUAGGUGGCAGUUAUUCUUUUAAAGUUAAUUCACAUCAGGAUCCAAGCUAGGCCUGCUUUCUUGUUCACAAACUACAGUUACCUUGAAUUACAUGUUAGUAAAACUGGUUAUAAGUCACACACAUGAGCUUUUCAGAAGUGUGGGUUGCCCCCUCUGAUCUGCAAGGGAACUUAGGGUCUACUGUCUUUGCUAACUCCUUUUCACAAUCAGAAAACUAUUUUGGAAUUAUGUGUGCCUUCUCAGUUCCUUUUCUGUAAAUCUAGAACAUACUAAGUUGUAUUGAACAGGGAAAAAUGUAUUUAGAACAAUGUUUCUUCAAAUCACAGAAUUACUGGCUGAGGCAAGUGUUUCUAAAUAGAGAUAAUUAGGCCCUCUACAUAGGAAUGCUGGGAUUUUUGAAUUAGGUUCAAAUAGAAUCAACCAAAAUACAGCAAAGCUGAGAUCAGAUCUCUGAGAGGAGGUCUUAAUGUGGCCCAGGCUUGCCACAUUAUGUAGAACUGCUCUACGUAAGAUCAGAUCUCUACAGAGGAAUUUCAUGGCUGAACUGACCUGUGCAUCCAGUUAAAAUCAUCUUUUUCACCCUGGCCAUUAGGUUCACAAAGUACAUUUUGAGGGCUUAGCUCAGGAAAUACAUAUUUUUGUAUGUGUCUUUUCAUACUUUUUUCAGCUCUACAUGAAAAAAAUGACGGGUUAUAAGGUAGGGUUGGAGGCAUUGACAUCACUGGGGGUUCCUAGGGCACACAUCACUAUCAGAUCUCAGUCCCAUUUUAAGCACAGUUUCCACAGGAGUUUGAAAUUCUUAGCCCAAAAAUUGUCAGCACUAGAGCCAUCUACUGGUAGGUAGUUUUUGUGGAUGAAUCUGGUUUAUGUUAAGAUAGUCCAUUAUCCCAUAGAUGAUGAUUGCUGAUUUAUACCGAAAAUAAAUGACAUUAAGAAGUGAUGGGAGGAAAAUGUCCUUUUAAGCAGAUCAAACACUGAACUGCCCCAAAAGAUACAGAAGGAACAAGAUUGCAAAGAUUGCCUGUCAAGAUUUUUAAAAAUUUUACCUGCAUGUUUAGAUGUGGACUGCAUGUGUGCCUGGUGCCUGUGGAGGAUGGAAGAGGGCAUCAGAUCCCUAGAACUUAAGUUAGAGAUGGUUAUGAGCUGCCAUUUGGGUGCUGGGAAUUGAACCCAGUUUUUUGUUUUUUGUUUGUUUGUUUGUUUUUGUUUUUGUAAGAGGAACAAGUGUUCUUAACCAUUGAACCUUCUUUCUCCAGCCUGUACUGUCAAAUUUUAGACUCAUGUUUGUCAGUAUUAAUCGAAACUGUCACUGUUUUGUGUGUGUGUGUGUGUGUGUGUGUGUGUGUGUGUGAAAGUGUAGAGUCUAGGAACUAUUCCAUUAUCGAGUGGUAUUUUAUGCCAAGUGACUGGUGCUAUUUUUGUAGUUACAUGAACUUUGCCUAUCAGAAUUCAAAUGUAAAGUGAAAACACAGUUUUGAGCUGAAGAGAUCUUGUUUCAGUCCUGUAUCUGCUAUUUACCAACUACCUGACCAAGAACCUAACCGGAUAAUGGGGUGAGCCAGUGUUUACAAAGCAUGUUCAUAGUCAAGGCCUAACAAAUAUAAGCCCUUUAUGAUACUGGAAGUAAGACAAAUAACUAUCAUUUCUCUAUACCACUUGGAGAGAAUUCAGAAAAAAAUUAAUUGAA